AGGGAAGGAGGCCUGCUGCUGCUCAUCUGAGUACUGGUCUGGAUUCUUCUAUUUCUGAUGUACUGUUGUCUGUUCCUCAAGGGAAUCCUCCUGCUGGCCAUCAAUCUGUUGCAAGACUAGAUGGCCAAAGUUCUGUGAUACCAGGGUUGAGCAGACCUGAUUAUGACGAGCUGAUGAACUUGUUACACCAGACCAAGUUGGGGGAAUCCACUGCUCAAACUCCUCCUCCCAUAUAUGCUGCAAACUU
This 247-nucleotide long non-coding RNA is filed under the name Nicotiana benthamiana. RNAcentral describes it as "long non-coding RNA (NBEN_LNC034756)". The record is from RNAcentral. Lineage: Eukaryota; Viridiplantae; Streptophyta; Magnoliopsida; Solanales; Solanaceae.